This is a long non-coding RNA of Athene cunicularia (burrowing owl), 337 nucleotides long. RefSeq lists it as uncharacterized. The transcript has 4 exons. The record is from RefSeq and is a predicted model, not a curated record. Lineage: Eukaryota; Metazoa; Chordata; Aves; Strigiformes; Strigidae.
UAACUGAGUAGUUGUUCAGGACUUGCUGUUGCUGAACCGGGUGUGGGCAAAAUAUGAAGGCGCUGCCAUAUAUUUCAUUGUAGAAGGCUGAUAAGCUCUGCAUUUCAUGGAACCUUCAUGACAAACAAACAUGGAAUGGCAGUGCAGGGUAAAAGUAGCAUUUUCCUCAGGCAGUAAAGAUAUACUGAAAUCCCCACUGACAUGAAUAUCAAGCUUCUGCUUAUCGCUGCAAACUCUUUCCUCUGUAUGUUCUGAUGCAUCUUUUGGCAGCAGCUAGAGACACACCAGCUAAACAUUGACUCUGCAAAAAUUGUAGCAAAACCACGGUGGCUAGUAA